UAGUGUAAAAGAGCGUUUACCUUUUGCGAUUGGUGCAUGUUCAACAACAUUCACAGUUGAUGGAGAUACAUCAUGGACUCCGGUCUUUACGUUUGUGACUGCAGAUUUCACGUGGGAAGUGGCUCCUGUUCCCACUGUGCUCUGAAAAUUUUUAGAUUAAACGUGCAUUAUCAAAACAAAGUAAUUGUUGGGACGAACAGAUUAUAGAGAAUAUCGAUAUACCUUAACAUUACUUUCCGGAGUUCCAUAAGAAGUUGCAGGCGGUAUAGCAGUCGCUGUCUACAAAAUUAUAAUAAUUGGACGAUACGAUAUUUUCUAAAAGUUAAAAAUUGUAUACAUAUGUUAUAUAUAUAUGUAUGUAUGUACCUUGACUCCUUCAACAGGCACCGAAACCGUGGUGGUUGAUACCGUUUUCUCUGGUACCAGGGAACACCUGGUUGAUAUCCAGGAGGUCCAUAGACGGUCUGUGGUAUCUCGGCGUAAGAGUUACCAAGGGAUUUUGCGUCUUCCACUAUGUUCUCGUGAUGAUGAUGAUGGUCGGUUCCAUAACGUGGAUCACCAGAUCUCUAUGAAUGGUGUUUUAAGGGGAUAAUAAAAGAGGAUCCUUACCAGAGCGAUGAGCAGGAGCCUCAUGUUAGCCGUAUGAUGUUUGAAUGAGGAGUCGAGUAUCAUCCCAAAGAUAUUUCGACCUUUUAUACUCGGCCGAUGCUCCCUCCAGUUUAUUUCGCAAUCCGAUGGCAUUGGAAGAACUAGAUUUUUUAAUUGACUUCUCUUGAAGGCCUGCGUCAGGGAGAUGAUCAGUGGACAAAAUGUUACUUGAAUAAAUCCUCUACUGUGUUGGUGACACGAAACACGGAUCAAAGAAACAGAACUUCCAACUUUGUUUCAGUGUUGGUGUUCUUCUUCUCCCCCUUCUUUUCGCGCCCACAGUCUUUACUCUCAAUAUUUAAGCGAACGGAGGAUGAUUUAUGCAAAUCUCUAUACAUUUCCUUUCUCAACUUUGGUCUCUCCUUUUACUUUUUCAAUCUUUUUCUCUUUCUUUCUUAUCGACAUUCCGUGAACGCGUAUACACCCAUUAUCAAGCUUCGUUAAAAGAAGAGGAAGCUUUUAAAAUAGUCGGAUAACGAACGUCAAACUUUUGUAAGAUUUAAUGGAUCGUUGUCAACGAACUUUAAAUAAUUCGUAUAAUCUCUCUGAUCGAACGUUAAGUUCGCGACAACUUCGUAUUUUAAUAUACAUAUCUGACAGGUAUCUUACAUCACAAUGUUUUAUAACUUUCCAAAUGCAGAAGACGCAUUAUGAUGAUCCUUAUAAUUCUUUUUCUUCCAGAGAACAGAAAAGCUUUUAUGCAGAAUUUUACGAUUCUGACGACAGAGCAAAUUUCGUACCAUUAUUACACAAGCUGAUCUUAUAGACGACUAACUGUGUUGUAAAGAGUUUUAAUUUUUAUGUUCAAAAAAAUUUGAUUGUGUGUGUAGUGUUCCUGAAGCUAAUAGAAAUAACUGUGCAGUUAAUUUGCAUUCAAUUAUUUAUUUUAAUUAGUGCAAAUUUCUUAACUUUGAAAGGACAUGCUCAUAGAAAUUUCUUUGUAAAUAAGACACAUCUCUCUUGAUUAUUUUCUCCAUCACACUAUUUUUCAUUUACACGUUUGUUUAAUCAUAAUAAUUGUCGUUCCACUUAACUAUUUGAAUAAUCUUAUUAUAAUAUUUCUUGUUAAUUUUGCUAAUUACGUAUGAUUUGUAUCGUUCUACAUUAACCUACAUUGUAAUUUUUAAUUCUUUCAUUAUAUUUUUGUGCUUUAGCUAAGAGAUUUGCUUCUUUUCUGGCAAGUGAAAACAUGGAUAUAUAUUUAUGGCUCAAAUAGCUAAUGGAUGGAUUUGUAACCUUGGGAAGCGAGAAUUCCACUGUCCACACCUAUAAUAUCUUGGCCAUACCUGAAAUAGGCCUGUUUCUAUGUGAUGAAUGGACUUAUCCACAGGAUAACAAAAACACUGGUAUUGCAUUAAUUGCAUAACGAACAAAUCGUGGGACGCGCAUAUUAUGAAAUCCUGAUCUGUUAGAAAUUUAAUUGUAUAACAGUGUUUGUAUAAAUUUUAGUCGACAAUUAGUCUUACUUAUUUUCUACAGUUAUAAUUUCUUAAAUUUUUUUUAGGGAAUGCCAACAACAUUCGGCUACUUUUUACACAGACAAUAAAAAGCAGUAUAAUCAAUUUUUUGUGAGUUGUUGGGUUAUUCUUUCAGCUUUUUUUAAAGACGAGUUUCUCGUGUAAAUAUCGUUUACAUAUUGUUAAGUUUGAAUUUCGCGCGUCAAGUCUCUGAAAGCUUUGAAUGCAUAAAUAUUGUAGCAAUAGAAAUUGAGUUUCUGGCCUAAUAACAUGGUGGCUCUAUCUGUUGUUAGAACUUGAAAGUAUCGUCUGAGAACCAAGAAUGUUGCCUGUUAAAGAUGAUUUUGGAGGUAAUUGCACAGUGAAUUACGGUGAAAGUGAAGGCAUAUACGAUAUAUUACCGGCAAACUCGCCAUCACAUGCAAAUACACGAACUUA
This is a long non-coding RNA of Bombus pyrosoma, 2543 nucleotides long. RefSeq lists it as uncharacterized. The transcript is spliced from 4 exons. The record is from RefSeq and is a predicted model, not a curated record. NCBI's taxonomy places the organism in Eukaryota, Metazoa, Arthropoda, Insecta, Hymenoptera, Apidae.